Long non-coding RNA from Antechinus flavipes (yellow-footed antechinus), 4528 nucleotides. RefSeq lists it as uncharacterized. The transcript has 3 exons. The record is from RefSeq and is a predicted model, not a curated record. Lineage: Eukaryota; Metazoa; Chordata; Mammalia; Dasyuromorphia; Dasyuridae.
ACAUAAUUUGUGAAAGUAUCUUUGUUACCUUACAAACCAUUUCUUAUGAAAAAAAAGCCUCAACAAAAACUAAAAUAUUGAUUGAAUUUGACAUUAUAUUCAUGUUCUACAAUCUUUUCCACACCUUUCUUCUUCUUUUAUUCCCCUUGAUCUGCAAAGAAGAGAAGGAAUUUUUCACAUCUCUUCUUUAGGGGUGAGAUUUGCAUGACUUCUUAUUGUUGAAGCCUUGAUCACUACUUUCUUUUCUAGGUGUCCACUACUCUAUUUCCUUAUUAUAUUCAUUAGAGUUUUUAUUUCAGUGUCCAUUGUAGUGUAUAGAUGUAAUGUAGUAUAGUGUGUAGAUGUAGUGCAUAGAUGGGUUCUUGAAAACCAUACUGAUAGAACACAAACCAGUAGGUGGACCAAUCAAGCCAGAGGGAUAUUUAUUUUGGGCCAGGAAGAGAUGGUAUCUGCUAUUGAAGAACCAUUCUGACUAAAUUUGGAAAGUCUUUUGGGACACUAGCUACUUUCAAAGAUGUUUUUCAGUUAACGUGGUAGUAAAGCAAAGAUUUGACAUAGUUCCAUGAUAUUUGAUAUAAUUCUAGAAAUGCUAGCAAUAAGAUAAAGAAAUUAAAGGCACACAGUCAUAUGCAAAAAGGAAACAUAACUAUUCUUAUUUGCUGUUGUCAUGAUAAUGUGUUUAGAAAAUAAAAAUCAGCUUAGAAACUAACUGAGAAAAUUAAAAAAGCCUUAGCAAAAUACUGUGUUAUAAAAUGAACUACAAAAAUCAAUAGCAUUCUAUUUGGCCAUAUUUUGGCCAGGAAAGAAUAAUUCAAAGGCAAAUCUCAUUCUAUAUAACUAGAAAAUGCAUAAAGUUUUUAGAAAUCAACCUAUCAAAGCACAUGGAGUAGUUUAUAAGAACCAUCACCACACUCCUAUUUGGUACUGGUUAAAAAAAAACCAGUAGGUUAAUAUAAAGAAUUUUGAAUUUGUUAAUCCAGUGUUCUAUAAAACCCAAAAUAUAAAUUACCUAUGAAAGAAUUCUUUAUUUGGCAAGAGUUCUUUGGAAAAAUUAGAAAGCCUUUAUUUGACCAAAACUACAGGGAAAACUGGAAAGCAGUUUGGUAGGAAUUAUAUUUAAUUCAAAGCCUUUAAAAAUUAUCAAAGUAAACUAAAAAUGGACUUGAGUAUUAAAAGAUCAAAGAGGAAAAUGAGAUUAGGUACUUUUUAUAGUUUUGGUAAGAGGGUGUCAUUUUUAACCAGACAAGGAAUAGAGAUAUUUGCAAAAGUAAAUAAGGUAAUUUUAUAUGACAUUAACAAGAAUUUUUAAAAUUUCUCCAAGAUAUUUAGACAAUAAAGAUAUUUAAAACAUUCUCCAAAGCAUAAAUGGUCAAAUAAGAACAAACAUUUCUCAAAAUAUUGUAGACUAUUGACAACUAUGUGCAAGAAUGCUCCAAUUUGCUACUAAUAAAAUAAAUAUAAAUCAUAAUAUAGUUUUGAGAUUUCACCUCACAUGCAGCAAAUUGGCACAGAUGGCAAAACUCAUUGCAUUUAUGCAGAAACAUUGACAGUGGUGCUUGGUACUAGUAAAGAACUAGAAACAAAGUAGAUGCUUAUCACUUGGAAAAUGGAUAAAACAUGAAUGCAAUGAAAUGUUACUGUAUAUUAUAAUAUGAUUUAUAUUAUUAAUGCAGAGAAGCAUGGGGGACUUAGUUGAAAUGAUGCAAAAUACAGUAAGUAGAACAAGGAAAAUGGGAUACAUAAUGACUAUAACAACGUAAAUGAAAGAAAAAUAACAAAAAUGAAUGCUCUGAAAUUAUAAUGAUCAAGCUUGGCCGCAAGAAGAUAUAAGGUACCCAUUCUUGUCUAAAGUCAAGGACUCUCACUGGGAAGCACUACAUAUCAUAUUGGUUUUUUAUUAAGUUUUGUUUGAACUGUUUUCCCUCCCUUUUUAAUUAUUUGAUGAGAAAGAUGACUCUCUGGGAAGGGAAAAGGGAAGGUAUGUAUUGGUAAAGAUAAUUGAUGUAGGAACAAAAUAUUUCAAAAAAAAACUAAAAAAUCUCUCAGAUUAUUUACAUUGUAGAAGGAUUGUAAUCUUGGUUAGCAUAGGGUGUGUUCAGUGAAAUCGUGGUCUUUGAAGUAGUUUGAUAAUAUUCUUAGUACAUAUUCCCAGGUAGAGAGAUUAUUGUGUUUAAAGAGUAAAACUAUUUUAUAAUUUAUAAUGAGAAAAAGUUUUAACGAUUAGGAAUGGUCUUUGGAAUAAAAAACAAUAAAGAUCUUUUAAAAAUAAAAGAACAUAGAAAAGAAGUGGGGCCUUGCUUCUUUGAACAAAUAGAAGAGUUUCAUCCAUGUUUCACUAUUUGAGUUGAUGCUUCAUUAAUUAAGGUUUAAAAAGAGUCAUCUUCUAGGUGAAUGUCUGCUUCCUCUCCUUGGUAUAUUUCAAUAGUGAUUGGAAUUUGGAAAAGGAUUGAGUAACAUUUAGAUUAUGUAUCCUUAUAUGUAUUCCAUAAGAGAAUUGUAAGCUUUAGUUUUUCUGUCAUUGAGGUUGUAGGUUCAACUUUUAACCAAUAGUAGACUAGACAUACAUGCCUUAAUUUUGAUUUUGUGUGAUUAUAUUAAAUUUGCCUUUGUAUGAUUAUGGUAAAUUUGCUAUUUUUUCCCCAGAGCUUCUCAAUGCUUCCUUGUUAGAGAAGAUGCUUCAUCUGUAAUUUGCCACAAUCCAGUAACCUUAAAGGGAUUUCCUGUGUGGAACAUCUCAGACUUUGGUUGUCAGCCUACCUUCUUGCCAGAAUCUCUGGGAAAUAUACUAGAUAAAAUAAUGAUCCCAGUAAUUUUAGUCUGUGUAGUGUUAUUUGUGCUCCUGUGGCUGCUUCUAAUGCUUUGGAAGGUGAAACACAACAGAGUACAAGGGCAGCCAGGUGAAGGAUUUGUCACUAUCUUAAGAGAAUGCAUUAAACCCUGGGAGAGCAGAGGACUCCGUAAUGGGGGAAGACAAGUCACCAUGAACGGAAUGACUUCCCAGAGUAUAACAGCUGGACAGAAUUCAAGUGUCAAGGAACUGGAAACUGAGUGGAUGCCUAUUAGUUGGAGAAUGGCUGAAUAACUUAUGGUAUAUUAAUGUUAUGGAAUAUUACUGUUCUUUAAGAGAUGACCAGCAGGAUGAUUUCAGAGAGGCUUACAUGAACUGAUGCUAAGUGAAGUGAGUAGAAUCAAAGGAACACAGUAUAGCAACAAGAUUAUGUGCUGAUCAACUGUGAUAAACUUGGCUCUUUUCAACAAUAAGUGAUUCAGGGCAAUUCCGAUAGACUUGUGAUGGAGAGAGCCAUCUGCAUCCUGAAAGAGAACUGUGGGAACUGAGUGUGAAUCAUAACAUAGUAUUUUCACCUUUGUUGUUGUUGUUCACUUGCUUGUUUUUCUCAUUUUUUUUCCUUUUUGAUCUGAUUUUUUCUUGUGCAAUAUGACAAAUGUGGAAAUAUGUUUAGGAGAAGGGGGAAUUGGGGAGGGAGGGAGACAAAUAUGAAAUACAAAGUUUUGCAAAGGUAAAUGUUGAAAAUUGUCUUUGCAUGUAGUUUGAAAAAUAAAAAGCUAUUAUUUAAAAAAAAAAGAUGUGGGUUCAAGCCUCCUUUUUAAUACAUACUGGCCAUAGAACCCUCAACAAGAUCAUUUAAUCUCUCCUUGUCCCAGGAACUCUCCAACACCAAAUUACAAGAUAGUUGAAGAUCUUUAUAAUAAAGAUUUCUUCUAAGGGAGAAAGGGAACUUAUACCAGUAAAAUCACAGAUCCAGACCAAAAAAAAAAAGAUUUCAGGGAUACAAUUUCAUCAAAUCAAGUAUUCAAGCCUUUUAGCAGUAAAAAGAGAAGAGAGACCUCAUGUAGAUUUUCUAUCAUUUCUAGUAUGUGAUCCAUGAUUCCCCUAUAAUACAACAGUUUCUAUUUUGUACAAUUCUGUGGACAGGAUUUUGCAUAGAACAAUCAACAUGUUCAUCAUUAACAAGUCUGCUCUCUUCAAUAAAACAUUGCCUUUAUUUUGUAAAGGAUGCUUCAAUGGAUAGAGUAUUGGGCCUGAAGUCAGAAAGACUCAUCUCCCUGGAUUAAAAUUUGGCCUUCGUCACUUACUAGCUGUGUGAUGCUGAGCAAGUCACUUAACCCAAUUUACCCUAGUUUCCUCAUCUAUAAACAUAAUCUGGAGAAGAAAAUGACAAACCAUUCCAGUAUCUUUGCCAAGAAAACCCCAAAUGGGUUCAUGAAGAGUCAGACACGACUGAAAAAAUGACUCAACAAUGAAUUUUCUUUGUACCAACUCAACCUCUAUAAAUCUUAAUUUCCUCAUAUGUAAAAAAGAAGUUGUAUUAGACAGUCACCAAGGAAGGUCCCUUUCAGAUCUAAAUCAAUAAGCCGUGUUAAACAGUACCUCAGUUUAUAAUUUUUGUCUUAAAGGAACACAAUUUUCUUAACGAUAUCCUAUGAUUCAUAGUUUCCCAAUCACUCCAAUAUUCUGAGAUUUUUUUACUAUAUGGAGAAAAUGAAUAUGUUAGAACUCAGACUACAC